GAACAUCACUAAUGAUUUGGAUAUGUGAUCCAACCCACUUGUGAAGUUCAUCUGGGUUCCCAUUGGAUAUCAAGAUCCAUGCAUGUAACCCAAAUAGAACAAUAACAUCAAUGACAAUUUUAUUUAUCUUAAUUUUAAUCACACAAUUGGUCAAUUGGUUAAAUCAAGGAAACCAAAUCAAGCCUAGGAAACAGCAGUUCUUCUAUAGCAAUCUGGCAUGAAGAACACACCUAAGCAUCGAGCAUAGCAUAUCAUAGCUAAAGAGGGCAAAUGAAGCAAUCUGGCAUGAAGUACAUAUCUGAGCAUCGAGCAUAGCAUAUCAUAGCUAAAGAGGGCAAAUGAAGGUAAAUGAGGGCUAAGUGUAGAAACAGGUAUGGGUGUACUUAUAGAUGCAAUUCUUCCAGUCUUGCUAUGUCAAUCUGACAUGAAGUACACAUCUAGGCAUCGAGCAUAGCAUGUUCAUAGCUAAAGAGGUGGAAGGUGUGUUGAAGAUAACCCCUAUUUAUAAUCAUGGGUUGGACUGUAUUGUCUUUUAGUUUUAUGGCAGCCACCUUUUAUAAAGAUUAGAAAUAUUCAUGUCAUGUAUACUUUUUUUCUAUAAAUAAGCAAUGUCUUGACAUCUCUUAUUGUCACAUCAAAGCGUUUGCGAAGCCUAGAUCCCACCAACAUCUAUUAGGGGGUGCUUUAGGAUUUUCCCGAUUCUGUUAUCUUUAAGGGGUUUCCACGCCCGGGGAGGAGGAUUUUUCCGAUUCAUGCUAGAUUGUUGUUGACCACGCUAUAGCUUAUUGCAAUCCCUUAGGUUUAAAAUGGAUUUUGCUUUAGAGCACCUCCGUCUGUUUUUCUCGAAAUCCCCCCUCUGGGAGAGGGGGGAUUUCGCACCAACUUUGUGUUCUAUAAAUGAGCAAUAUCUAUAAUAUCGAUGUCAGAACUACCUCGAUUGCAUCAUUAUUGCAUUUGUUUUGAUGAAAAGC
This is a long non-coding RNA of Nematostella vectensis (starlet sea anemone), 971 nucleotides long. RefSeq lists it as uncharacterized. NCBI's taxonomy places the organism in Eukaryota, Metazoa, Cnidaria, Anthozoa, Actiniaria, Edwardsiidae. The transcript is spliced from 3 exons. The record is from RefSeq and is a predicted model, not a curated record.